RNAcentral lists this ribosomal RNA (2937 nucleotides) under Planctomycetaceae bacterium. RNAcentral's name for it is "bacterial LSU rRNA". It matches the Rfam family "Bacterial large subunit ribosomal RNA". Lineage: Bacteria; Pseudomonadati; Planctomycetota; Planctomycetia; Planctomycetales; Planctomycetaceae. The record is from RNAcentral.
AUGUGGUCAAGCUACAAAGGGCGUAUGGGGGAUGUCUUGGCGUCAGGAGGCUGUGAAGGGCGUGGAAGUCUGCGAAAAGCCCGGGGGAGUUGACAAACGAGCGGUGAUCCCGGGGUUCCUGAACUGACAUGUGCUGAAUACAUAGGUACAUGUGGCCAACGCGGUGAACUGAAACAUCUCAGUAACCGUUGGAAAAGAAAGAAAAAUCGAUUCCGUCAGUAGCGGCGAGCGAACACGGAAUAGCCCAAACCGCGGGGGUUUUCCCCUGCGGGGUUGUAGGGCCUUUCACAUGGGAGUUAGAAAAUAAUCUGCUAGUAGAACCGCACUCGCUGGAACGGCGGGCCAUAGAGGGUGACAGCCCCGUAUGCGAAAGCGGAUUAUCUCCCGAAGGGUACCUGAGUAGGUCGGGUCACGUGGAACCCCGACUGAAUCUACGGGGUCCAUCCCGUAAGGCUAAAUACUCCCUGACGACCGAUAGUGAACUCAGUAUGGUGACUGAAAGAUGGGAAGAACCCCUUUUAGGGGAGGACACUGAACCUGAAACCAUACGCUUACAAGCGGUCGGAGCACGUGUGCCUUCGGGCCGUGUGACGGCGUGCCUUUUGCAUAAUGAUCCGGCGAGUUACCGUUGUCGGCGUGGUUAAGGCCUUCCGGGCCGAAGCCUAAGGGAAACCGAGUCUGAAUAGGGCGAAUUUGUCGGCAGUGGUAGACGCGAAACCUGGUGAUCUACCCAUGGACAGGUUGAAGCGCGGGUUAUACCGCGUGGAGGACCGAACCCACUUAGGUUGAAAACUGAGGGGAUGAUCUGUGGGGAGGAGUGAAAGUCUAAUCAAACCAGGAGAUAGCUCGUUCUCUCCGAAAUAUCUUUAGGGAUAGCCUCGAGCCACUACGUACCGGGGGUAGAGACACUGAAUUGGCAUGGGGGGAGUCGCAUCCUACUCAGCCGAACCAAACUCCGAAUACCGGUACGACUAUCUCGGGAGUCAGUCCGCGCGGGAUAAGCUGCGCGGUCAAAAGGGAAACAACCCAGACCAUCUGCUAAGGUCCCGAAGUCAUGCUCAGUCACUAAGGAAGUGGAUUUUCUGCGACAACCAGGAUGUUGGCUUAGAAGCAGCCACCAUUUAAAAAGUGCGUAACAGCUUACUGGUCGAGAAAUUCUGCGCCGAUAAUGAACGGGAGUAAGCAUGACACCGAAGCAGUGGGUUUCGUCGAUCCUGCGGGAUAGGCGAAGCGGUAGGAGAGCGCUCUAGAUCAGAUACAAGCCGUACCGAAAGGAGCGGUGUCGGGGUCUAGAGGUGAUUAUGCCGGAAUGAGUAACGAUAAAGCAGGUGAGAAUCCUGCUCGCCGAAAGCCUAAGGUUUCCUGGGGAAGGCAAUUCCGCCCAGGGUUAGCCGGUACCUUAGUCGAGGCCGAAAGGCGUAGACGAUGGACAGCAGGUCAACAUUCCUGCGCUUUCAAAGUGGACCUGAUGGAGGGACGGCGUUUUUAGGGUCAGCGGUACGAUUAGAAAUGUCCGUGGACCCUCUGGAGGUGUGGGGUAGGAAAAUCCACCCACAUAAGCCAAAGGAGGGGACCGACCGCAUUUAUGUUCGGGUAGUGAUCUGAAGGACGUCCAAGAAAAGCUUCUAGGGGUUUGACACUUUGUCAACCGUACUAAAACUGACACAGGUAGGCGAGUCGAGAAGACUCAGGCGCUCGGGAGAACGGUGGUUAAGGAACUCUGCAAAAUGGCCCCGUAAGUUCGCGAUAAGGGGUGCCACGGGCGGUUCACGCUGCCUGUGGCCACAGUAAAUCGGCUUCUCCGACUGUUUAUCAAAAACACAGGUCUCUGCUAACACGUAAGUGGAUGUAUAGAGACUGACGCCUGCCCGGUGCCGGUAGGUUAAGGAAGCGGGUUAGCUCUUCGGAGCGAAGCUCUCGACCGAAGCCCCGGUAAACGGCGGCCGUAACUAUGACGGUCCUAAGGUAGCGAAGUUCCUUGUCGGGUAAGUUCCGACCUGCAUGAAAGGCGUAACGACAGAAGCACUGUCUCAACCAGUGACCCGGUGAAAUUGUAGUCGUGGUGAAGAUGCCACGUACCCGCGGUUAGACGGAAAGACCCCGUGAACCUUUACUGUAGGCUGAUAUUGGUCUGAGAUAUGUUUUGUGUAGGAUAGGUGGGAGGCUAUGAGACCGGAGCGCCAGCUUCGGUGGAGCCAACCUUGAAAUACCACCCUGAAUAUAUUUUAGCUCUAACGCUGAUCCCGUGAAUCCGGGCAGCGGACAGUGUCAGUUGGGCAGUUUGACUGGGGCGGUCUCCUCCCAAAGAGUAACGGAGGAGUACAAAGGUACCCUCAGCUCGGUUGGCAAUCGGGCGUAGAGCGCAAAGGUAGAAGGGUGCUUGACUGCGAGACAUAUAAGUCGAGCAGGAACGAAAGUUGGUCUUAGUGAUCCUGUGGUUCCGUAUGGAAGGGCCAUAGCUCAUCAGAUAAAAGGUACUCCGGGGAUAACAGGCUUAUCGCUCCCGAGCGUCCAUAGCGGCGGAGCGGUUUGGCACCUCGAUGUCGGCUCAUCACAUCCUGGGGGUGGAGAAGCUCCCAAGGGUUUGGCUGUUCGCCAAUGAAAGUGGUACGUGAGCUGGGUUCAGACCGUCGUGAGACAGGUCGGUCCCUAUCUGCCGUGGGCGUACGAAACUUGAGGAGAUUCAACUUUAGUACGAGAGGAUUUAGUUGGACGUAGCUCUGGUGUACCAGUUGUCGCGCUAGCGGCACGGCUGGAUAGCUAACUACGGAAAGGAUAAACGCUGAAAGCAUCUAAGCGUGAAGCCCGCUCCGAGAUUAGGUUUCGUUGCACUUUGUGCGAGAGUCCCCUGGAAGACUACCAGGUUGAUAGGCCGGAUGUGUAAGUGCAGUAAUGCAUUCAGCUAACCGGUACUAACGGACGAAUGCUUGACCACAU